This 285-nucleotide long non-coding RNA is filed under the name Prunus persica (peach). Its description in RNAcentral is "long non-coding RNA (PPER_LNC006653)". Lineage: Eukaryota; Viridiplantae; Streptophyta; Magnoliopsida; Rosales; Rosaceae. The record is from RNAcentral.
AUCCGGACCAAGGGUGAGGCCGGCACGGGGAACAUCAUCGAAGCGGUGAGGCACGUGCGGUCCGUGAUGGGGGACAUUAGGGUUUUGCGGAACAUGGACGACGACGAGGUGUUCACUUUCGCGAAGAAGAUCGCGGCGCCGUACGAUCUGGUGAUGCAGACGAAGCAGCUGGGGAGGCUGCCUGUAGUGCACUUCGCGGCGGGAGGGGUGGCGACGCCGGCGGAUGCGGCGCUGAUGAUGCAGCUGGGUUGCGACGGGGUGUUUGUCGGGUCCGGCGUGUUCAAG